Molecule: ribosomal RNA, 526 nt
Filed under: uncultured bacterium
Lineage: Bacteria
Description: bacterial SSU rRNA
Rfam family: Bacterial small subunit ribosomal RNA
Source: RNAcentral
CGUGCUAGGACGAACGCUGGCGGCGUGCCUAAUACAUGCAAGUCGAACGGUCUUUCUAUGGAAGCUUGCUUCCACUGAAAAGAUAGUGGCGAACGGGUGAGUAACACGUGGGUAACCUGCCCAUAAGAGGGGGGAUAACAUCCGGAAACGGAUGCUAAUACCGCAUAGUUUUCUUGAUCGCAUGAUCGGGAAAGGAAAGACGGCCUUUGUGCUGUCGCUUAUGGAUGGACCCGCGGCGUAUUAGUUAGUUGGUGAGGUAACGGCUCACCAAGACGAUGAUACGUAGCCGACCUGAGAGGGUGAUCGGCCACAUUGGGACUGAGACACGGCCCAAACUCCUACGGGAGGCAGCAGUAGGGAAUCUUCCGCAAUGGACGAAAGUCUGACGGAGCAACGCCGCGUGAGUGAAAGAAGGUUUUCGGAUCGUAAAACUCUGUUGUCAGAGAAGAACAAGUUGGAGAGUAACUGCUCCAGCCUUGACGGUAUCUGACCAGAAAGCCACGGCUAACUACGUGCCAGCCGCCGC